GUGACUCUGAGGGAGCUCUUUUGGUGAUUUCAGAAGAGCACAUGUGCUCCCAUGAGCACCCUGGGGUGGCACAGAUGAGACACGGCUGAGGGGAAUCCCAUUAAUGUUCUUCCUGGACGGUGUUUUCCUUCUCUCUCGGCCGUUCCCGAAGCAGCAACGUGGUCAACUCGUAGCGGAGUCACUCCGAAAGCGCCCUGGGAGAAAACUGUUCUGAGCUACAGGAAAUUAAAAAAUUCCUGCAAUACCGA
RNAcentral lists this long non-coding RNA (248 nucleotides) under Rattus norvegicus (Norway rat). RNAcentral's name for it is "long non-coding RNA NONRATT003953". The record is from RNAcentral. Lineage: Eukaryota; Metazoa; Chordata; Mammalia; Rodentia; Muridae.